UCCGUAGGCGGUUCGGAAAGUCGGAAGUGAAAUCUCUGGGCUUAACCCAGAGGCUGCUUCCGAAACUGCCGUGCUAGAGUGCGAGAGAGGCGAGUGGAAUUGCGGGUGUAGCGGUGAAAUGCGUAGAUAUCCGCAGGAACAUCCGAGGCGAAGGCGGCUCGCUGGAUCGCAACUGACGCUGAGGGACGAAAGCUAGGGGAGCAAACAGGAUUAGAUACCCUGGUAGUCCUAGCCCUAAACCAUCAGGACUUGGGGUUUGCCCUGUACGGGGCAAGUCCCGUAGCUAACGCGUUAAGUCCUGCGCCUGGGGAGUACGGUCGCAAGGCUGAA
This 330-nucleotide ribosomal RNA is filed under the name uncultured bacterium. Its description in RNAcentral is "bacterial SSU rRNA". It matches the Rfam family "Bacterial small subunit ribosomal RNA", at positions 568 to 898 of the family's 1533-position model. The record is from RNAcentral.